RNAcentral lists this ribosomal RNA (255 nucleotides) under uncultured bacterium. RNAcentral describes it as "partial 16S ribosomal RNA". It matches the Rfam family "Bacterial small subunit ribosomal RNA", at positions 524 to 776 of the family's 1533-position model. The record is from RNAcentral.
GACAUAGGUGACGAACGUUAUCCGGAAUUAUUGGGCGUAAAGGAUGCGUAGAUGGUUCGGUAAGUUACUGGUGGGAAAUCGAGGCCCAACCUCGUGGAAGCUGGUAAUACUGUCGAGCUUGAGUGCAGGAGAGGUUAACGGAACUUUAUGUGGAGCGGUAAAAUGCGUAGAUAUAUGAAAGAACACCGAUAUAGCGAAGGCAGUUAACUAUUCUGCUACUGACAUUGAGGCAUGAAAGCGUGGGGAGCAAAACGG